AGCGAACGCUGGCGGCAGGCCUAACACAUGCAAGUCGAACGAACUCUUCGGAGUUAGUGGCGGACGGGUGAGUAACACGUGGGAACGUGCCUUUUGGUUCGGAAUAACUCAGGGAAACUUGUGCUAAUACAGAAUGUGCCCUUCGGGGGAAAGAUUUAUCGCCAUUAGAGCGGCCCGCGUCUGAUUAGCUAGUUGGUGAGGUAACGGCUCACCAAGGCGACGAUCAGUAGCUGGUCUGAGAGGAUGACCAGCCACACUGGGACUGAGACACGGCCCAGACUCCUACGGGAGGCAGCAGUGGGGAAUCUUGCGCAAUGGGCGAAAGCCUGACGCAGCCAUGCCGCGUGAAUGAUGAAGGUCUUAGGAUUGUAAAAUUCUUUCACCGGGGACGAUAAUGACGGUACCCGGAGAAGAAGCCCCGGCUAACUUCGUG
This 433-nucleotide ribosomal RNA is filed under the name uncultured bacterium. Its description in RNAcentral is "partial 16S ribosomal RNA". It matches the Rfam family "Bacterial small subunit ribosomal RNA", at positions 29 to 507 of the family's 1533-position model. The record is from RNAcentral.